This 84-nucleotide transfer RNA is filed under the name Scleroderma citrinum Foug A. It matches the Rfam family "tRNA". From Rfam's summary of the family: Transfer RNA (tRNA) molecules are approximately 80 nucleotides in length. Lineage: Eukaryota; Fungi; Basidiomycota; Agaricomycetes; Boletales; Sclerodermataceae. The record is from Rfam by way of RNAcentral.
CCGACUUUAGCUCAGUUGGAAGAGCGCGAGACUGUAAUUGGAUAAAACAUCUUGAGGUCGCCUGUUCGAGCCAGGCAAGUCGGA